Molecule: ribosomal RNA, 468 nt
Filed under: uncultured bacterium
Lineage: Bacteria
Description: partial 16S ribosomal RNA
Rfam family: Bacterial small subunit ribosomal RNA
Source: RNAcentral
AACGAACGCUGGCGGCGGGCUUAACACAUGCAAGUCGAACGGAGAGGCCCUGCUUGUGUGGGGUGCUCGAGUGGCGAACGGGUGUGUAACACGGGAGUAACCUUCCCUUUACUUGGGGAUAACUUCAGGGGACUGGGGCUAAUGCCGGAUAGGAGCGCCUGCUGCAUGGUGGGGUUUGGAAAGUUUGGGCGGUUGGGGGUGUACGGCCGGCUUAUCCGCUUGUUGGGGGGGUAGUGGCUUAGCAAGGCUUCGAGGGGUGGCCGGCCUGAGAGGGUGACCGGCCACAUUGGGACUGAGAUGAGGACCGGACUCCUACGGGAGGGAGCGGUGGGGAAGAGUGCACAAUGGGCGGCGGCCUGAUGCAGGAACGCCGCGUGGGGGAUGACGGUCAUCGGGUUGUAAACCGCUUUCGUCUGUGAUGAAGCGUGAGUGACGUUAAUGGGAAAAGAAGCACCGGCUAACUACGUG